This 347-nucleotide ribosomal RNA is filed under the name uncultured bacterium. RNAcentral's name for it is "bacterial SSU rRNA". It matches the Rfam family "Bacterial small subunit ribosomal RNA", at positions 32 to 369 of the family's 1533-position model. The record is from RNAcentral.
AAUCAACGCUGGCGGCGUGCCUCAGACAUGCAAGUCGAACGAUUAAAGCUCUCUUCGGAGAGUGCAUAGAGUGGCGCACGGGUGAGUAACACGUAAGUAAUCUACCUUCGAGUGGGGAAUAACGUCCGGAAACGGACGCUAAUACCGCAUAAUGCAGCGGCAUCGCAAGAUGGCAGUUGUUAAAGAAUUUAUUCGCUUGAAGAGGAGCUUGCGGCAGAUUAGCUUGUUGGUAAGGUAACGGCUUACCAAGGCUACGAUCUGUAACCGGUCUAAGAGGACGGUCGGUCACACUGACACUGAAUAACGGGUCAGACUCCUACGGGAGGCAGCAGUCGGGAAUUUUUGGG